AUCUGAGUGCUGGAAUGGUAGACAGUGGUUACUUAAGAUAACCUGGGCAAGUCCCGUGAGUGUUCAAGUCACUCUUCAGAUA
This 82-nucleotide transfer RNA is filed under the name Ilyonectria destructans. RNAcentral's name for it is "tRNA-Leu". Lineage: Eukaryota; Fungi; Ascomycota; Sordariomycetes; Hypocreales; Nectriaceae. The record is from RNAcentral.